GUUAAUAUCGACAGGCUUGAACAAAGUUAUGCUGCACCCUAAAAACAAGUUGUCAACAAUGUUGUUACCGUAUUGUCACAACUGAACAAUUCUGUAUAGCGACAUUGUUGACAACUUGUUCCUUAAUAGGGUGCAGCACAACCCGACCUUGUUCAAGAUUGUCCAUAUCAAC
This is a non-coding RNA of Paramuricea clavata, 172 nucleotides long. The record is from the annotation of a GenBank genome assembly. NCBI's taxonomy places the organism in Eukaryota, Metazoa, Cnidaria, Anthozoa, Malacalcyonacea, Plexauridae.